CCGACGUCCGAAGGAAGCGGAUGGGGAAGAAGGCGUCUACUUCUCCUUGAGGGGCGCGGCGCUCUGAAGUCGGCGGAGGCUGUGGAAGGGUUAGGGCUCGCUGCACUCGAACCACUGUUCUUCAAAUCAGCGUAGUCUCAGAGUCCGUACAGUCUAAAACUGGAAAAGAUGACGGGGAGCCUGGUGUCGUUAGCCUGGAGGACGGGUUGGGUCGAGGUUCUAGAUGGUUCUGGGGAUGAGAACCUUUAUCCCUGUGUCCCCGACGUUUGUCACAGCCAGGCGAGGUGGCCUGGUCACCGGAAGGAAGAUCGGGAGCUCAACGGUAUCCCCCGCUACAAAGUUCAAGCCAGGACUGAGACCCAAGUCAUUUGUUGUAACAAGUUAAUGUAUCCUUACGUGCUUGUCGUUUGUUUGGUUUUCGAGACAGGGUUUCUCUGUGGCUUUGGAGGGUGUCCUGGAACUCUAUACCAGGCUGGCCUCGAACUCAGAGAUCCGCCUGCCUCUGCCUCCCGGGUGCCGGGAUUAAAGGUAUGCACCACCACCGCCCGGCUUGGCGUACAUUUUUAAAAACUAAUGUAUUGUGUGGGUGGCCAUGUGUCCUUCUCCAAGGACAACUUGGAGAAGCCAGGUCUCUCCCCGCACGGUGUCCGAGGGAUUGAAUUUAGACGUCAAUCCUGGUAGCAAGCGCCUUUAUCCUCUGAGUCAGCUCCAGAGCCAGCCUUCAAGGAUCAGAAAUUUAAUUUUUUUUUAUAGGUUCUCAUGUAGCCCAAGCUGGCCUCAAACUUUUUAUGUGGCUGUGGAUGACCCAUAAGUCCUGAUCUUCCUUUCUCCUCCAUUAAAAAUGGGCUAGACAUUUUUAAUUUUCAUGAAGUCUAGUUGUAUUCCUUGGGUGGGAGGAGUGGAUCAUGCCUAGCUCACGGAACCCACCUGUCUCUGUGUCUCUCCCACCCCACCCCGGUGCUGGGGUUAUAGCCAGACACAGCUUUUUACCUGGGUGCCAUGGAUUUGAACUCAAGUCCUCAUGUUUGUAAGUGCUCUUACCCACUGGCCAGUUUCCUAGCCUCAGUGCGAGUUAAUUUUUGUGUUUAUAAGACAUGGAUUGAAGUUCUGCCCCUACCCCUGGAUUUAGAUGUUGUUUUUUUAGUUGUUACUGGGUUUUGUUUUGUUUGUUUGUUUUGUUUUUUUGCUUUUUGAGACAGGAUUUCUCUGUGGCUUUGGAGGGUGUCCUGGAACUAGCUCUUGUAGACCAGGCUGGUCUCGAUCUCACAGAGAUCCGCCUGCCUCUGACUCUUAAGUGCUGGGAUUAAAAGCGUGCACCACCACCACCCAGCUAGAUGUUAAUUAUUACAGCAUAUGGAAUAUUGCUACUGUUGAAGAGUCCAUUUUUCUCCACUGUAUCUUCUCCACCUUUGUUGAAACAGUCGUUUGCAUGUGUGUUCAUGUGUGUUCGACUCUGGUCUCCUCAUUCUGUAAGUGUUGAUUGGUACUGUCCACACGCACACACCUCAACAGGUGCCUGUUUUCUUGGGCUUGUAACCCUGUCCUAAUUUUUGCAUAUUUGCAAUCUGGUCAUUCAAGUUCAAUAUAUUUAGUAAAUCCAGUCAUGUGAAAAGAUAAACCAGAAAAAUAACAGUUCCCGUCAGCUUGGGGAAGUGAAGCCUUGUGUGACCUCAUCAUGCCCCAAACAGACCUAUUAAGAGUCCUUCUGGACUUCCCCUGCCUCCUUGGAGGGAAUAAAUGUCUCCAUGGUCUUGAACAAAUAGGGUUGGUGUCUCACAGCUGGGCUGCUUUGGUGGGGGAAUCGGCCUCCAGCAACCUGCUGUCAGCAAGAGUUCAAGCUUGGUGGACGGGGACUUUCUGUGUGUCUUUGGCUUCAGUUUCUCCCUCCAUCCAGAUGAAGAAGGUAGACUUCAGAUGGCCAAGCCCUGUAGAACCCUGAGUCAAAAAACAAAACAAAACAAAAAACCAUGUCAGUCUAAGUUGAUACAGAAUCACUUGGAAACCUUUUUUUUUCUUUCUUUCUUUUUAAGAUUUACAAUGUAUAGUGUUCUGUCACCUGCACGCCAGAAGAGGGCACCAGAUCUCAUUACAGAUGGUUGUGAACCGUCAUGUGGUUGUUGGGAAUUGAACUCAGAACCUCUGGAAGACCAGCCAGUGUUCUUAAUCACUGAGCCAUCUCUCCAACCCCUAGAAUUGUUUUAUUUGUAAUUCUGUGAAGGGUGGUUGGGGUGGGACCAGGGACUGUAUGUGCUCAUAUGAAUGCAGUUCCCAUAAAGUCCAGAAGAGGGCACUGCUUGCCUCAGAACUGGAAUUAGAGGCCAGUGUACGUGCAAGAACUGAAUGUGGACCCUAUGCAGAAGUAUAAACGGCCUUUUUAAAAUGACUUCACUGUUUUUAUCUUAUGUGCAUUGAUGUUUUGCCUGCGUGUAUGUCUGUGUGAGGGUGUCAAGUCCUCUGGAAUUGGAGUUACAGACAGUUGGGAGCCACCAUGUGAGUGCUAGAUUGAACCCAGAUCCUCUGGAAGAACAGCCAGUGCCCUUAACUGCUGAGCCAUCUCGCCAGCCUCUGCCUUGUUUUUGUUUGGGGACUGGUUCUCACUCUGUAGUCCUGGCUAGUCUGGACUGGCUGUGUAGACCAGGUUGGCCCCCAGCUUAUGGUAAUUCUGCCCCUGCUUUCUGAGUGCAGGGAUGGUAGGCUCACCCGCCACAGUCAUCCUUCUUUUGGGAGCCAGAGAUGAGCAGCCUGGUUUUUCAUGUUUAUUGUUCUCAUUUUUAAAUUCACCAUGGAACUGUGUGGGGUCUGUUUUCACCCACAGUCACUGCUGUCUCAGGCCCCAGAGCAUAGCAGGUCCCUGUUGGAGCUUUCUGUCACUUAGCAAGGAACUCCUAAGUACCAUAGCUUCUUGUGGGGAAUGAAUAGUGUCUACCUGUGUGGCUGGGGUGUGGCUCAGGAGCUGAGCAAGCAACAUCCAGCACUGAUCUCCAACCAAGGCAAACAAGCAAAAAUCUUGUGUGGAUGCCCCACUCAGUUUGUGUAGCCAGUAACCUGUUGAACGUUAGGAUAUCUUGGUUGUUUUCAGGUCUCAACACUUAUGAAUAACAUUUCUGGGUGGAAGAGAUGGCUCAGAGGGUAAAGGCACUUGCUAUCGAGUCUGAUGACCUGACUUGGAUCCCAGGGACCCACAGGGUGGAAGGGGAGAAUGGUUUCUGUAAGUUGUCCUAGGUUCCACCUGUACACUGUGGCACAUGUACACAAAUGAAUGUAAAAGUCUUAAUUGUUAAUAAAAAUAAAUAAUAAUAGUAAAAAAUCUUAAUUGUUAGUAAACCUUCACUUGGCUGGGCCCUGUUAUCCCCGACUCCGGAGACAGAGGCAGGUCCAUCUCUGUGAGUUCAAGGGCAUCCUGGUCUACAGAGUGAGUUCCAGGACAGCCAGGCUACACAGAGAAACCCUGUCUCGAGAAAUAAAAUAACCUUCACUUGCAGGCACUUAAAUGGUUGUAUAUCCUCGUUUUAGUUUAGUUUCAGACUCUGACUUUUUUCUUUCUUUCUUUUUUUUUUUUUUUACUGAGAAACCCAUGAAAAAAACCAACACUGUUGGAAUGUUCUAGAGGAAGUUCUCAUGGGCACCAGAGGUGCUUCUCACAGUUCCUUUUUUUUUAUUUUCAGAUUCACUCAGCACAUGGCUCGAAACCCAGACAACUUAUAAAGAAAUAAAGAGACUCCACUGUCCAGUAACAUUCAAGAGCAGACCUGCAGUGGCCUCCUCAGCAGAGAAUCAGGAGGUGUGGGAGAGGGGCCGGUGCUAAGGAGCCCUGCAGAAGGUUCCCAACUUCCUGGAGGGUGUCCCAGCUCCCAGAGUUCUGCUUUUUGGCAUCUGGUUCUCAGCUAGAUCUACCUUUGUGGGUAACAGCACCUCACCCAUCACUAUUUCUGAAUCGCUGAGUUGUUUUCUGCUGCCUUUGGGAUGCCAGUUUCCACUCUGCUGGCACCGAGGAAGAACAGAAGGGCAGCCCCAUCCAUUAGACUGUUGAGGGGAGUGGGGGUGUUGACAACUUCCCCCACAUCUCAAGACCCGCUUAACUGCUUUGGGGUGUAUUCACUGAGGACACAGAGGAAACAGCCGCGGACAAGAGGGUCUGGGCACGCAGCUCAGUUGGUAGAGGUCUUGCCUGGCAUGCAGAAGGCCCUGGGUUUGAGCCCCAGAUCUCAUCAACCAGGGAUGAUGGCACAAGACUAAUCCUAGCACUCAGGAGGUGGUAGAGACAGGAAGCUCAGAAGUUGGAGGUCAUCUUUGGGCACAUAGCAAGCAACAAAUUCAGGUCUAGCCUGAGACUGAGGAAGGGCAGGUGUGGAAAUGGUAGGACGGCUCAGCUGGGAAGGGUACUUUCUGCCCAUGCCUGAGACCUGACUCAUUGACCUCCAUACAAGGUCCAUGGUGUGUGCGUGUGUGUGUGUGUGUGUGUGUGUGUGUGUGUGUGUCUGUCCACACACACGAGUGUGCACACACACACACACACAGGAGCAAAGGGAAUGGCCUGGAAGCUCCUGCAACCUUGGUAGAUGAGGAUAUCAUGUUCUUCCUAAAGCAAGGGAUUUUCUCCUGGAGCAUCUGUCUUCUCUCUCUGGGCCCUCCAUCAGUCUCUCAUGUCAGCCCCUCCCCCAUUUCCCUUUGGCUGGGUCAUCUGGCUUCUUCUUAGCUUUCAAGCUGUGUGUACACAUCUGGAGAGCACCCCUGGUUACUACUCCCCAGCAACACACUGUGCCUUCUUGCAGGGUCUGGCAAGAAAAGCUCCAGAAGGGCUGCUUGAUUGGCAGCAUGCUGUCUUUGCUCAGCUCCAAUGGAGGAGUUGGGCUCAGUCUACUUGGAUUUGAAAAAAACUUUGUCUAUGCUGGACCAGUGGUGGCCAGUGAUGGUGCACACCUUUAAUCCCAGCACUCAGGAGGCAGAGGCAGGCGGAUCUCUGUGAGUUCGAGGCCAGUCUGGACUACAGAGCAAAUUCCAGGACAGCCAUGGCUGUUACACAGAGAAACCCCAUCUGGAAAACCAAAAAGUUUUGUCUAUUUAUUGAUUCAGACAUGGCUUCACUCUGUAGCCCUGUCUGACCCCUAAUUUCUGUUGUCCCCCUGCCUCUGUCUUUCCAGGAUCACAAGCCACCGCACCCAGCUUGCAAUUGACUGACUGAAUGAUUCAUUUACUUAUUUCUAGUGUGGAGAUGGCUCAGAGGUUAAGAGCAGUGACU
This 5239-nucleotide long non-coding RNA is filed under the name Cricetulus griseus (Chinese hamster). Its description in RNAcentral is "lncRNA (ENSCGRG00015033276.1)". The record is from RNAcentral. Lineage: Eukaryota; Metazoa; Chordata; Mammalia; Rodentia; Cricetidae.